CUUCUGCACACAGCGUGAGGUGUUGGCGCAGCUGUUUCUCACCAAGACCUCUGGUCUGAAGGGUCACGUGCAAGGCCUCUGCGUACGGCACUGUAUGAGCAAGCAUCAAGACUAGCACCACGGAAGAAAAAGAUCCAUGACGUGGGAAUUGCCUGACCUGCAUCAGAAACUUCCAGCUCAAUGCCUAGGAAUGAUGUGACCACUGAAAAGACAAACAACAUGCUGAGCCUGAGGUUUCUGUGGGAUGUCCAAGUGGAAAUGG
Molecule: long non-coding RNA, 262 nt
Organism: Cervus elaphus (red deer)
Lineage: Eukaryota; Metazoa; Chordata; Mammalia; Artiodactyla; Cervidae
Exons: 3
Source: RefSeq, a predicted model, not a curated record